RNAcentral lists this ribosomal RNA (429 nucleotides) under Chloroflexota bacterium. RNAcentral's name for it is "Chloroflexi bacterium partial 16S ribosomal RNA". It matches the Rfam family "Bacterial small subunit ribosomal RNA", at positions 355 to 776 of the family's 1533-position model. Lineage: Bacteria; Bacillati; Chloroflexota. The record is from RNAcentral.
UGGGGAAUAUUGCACAAUGGGCGCAAGCCUGAUGCAGCCAUGCCGCGUGUAUGAAGAAGGCCUUCGGGUUGUAAAGUACUUUCAGUCGGGAGGAAGGUGGUAAGGUUAAUAACCUUAUCAAUUGACGUUACCGACAGAAGAAGCACCGGCUAACUCCGUGCCAGCAGCCGCGGUAAUACGGAGGGUGCAAGCGUUAAUCGGAAUUACUGGGCGUAAAGCGCACGCAGGCGGUCUGUCAAGUCGGAUGUGAAAUCCCCGGGCUCAACCUGGGAACUGCAUUCGAAACUGGCAGGCUAGAGUCUUGUAGAGGGGGGUAGAAUUCCAGGUGUGGCGGUGAAAUGCGUGGAGAUCUGGAGGAAUACCGGUGGCGAAGGCGGCCCCCUGGACAAAGACUGACGCUCAGGUGCGAAAGCGUGGGGAGCAAACAGG